Molecule: ribosomal RNA, 922 nt
Filed under: uncultured Gammaproteobacteria bacterium
Lineage: Bacteria; Pseudomonadati; Pseudomonadota; Gammaproteobacteria
Description: bacterial SSU rRNA
Rfam family: Bacterial small subunit ribosomal RNA
Source: RNAcentral
AGAGUUUGAUUAUGGCUCAGAUUGAACGCUGGCGGCAGGCCUAACACAUGCAAGUCGAACGGUAACAGGAAACAGCUUGCUGUUUCGCUGACGAGUGGCGGACGGGUGAGUAAUGUCUGGGAAACUGCCUGAUGGAGGGGGAUAACUACUGGAAACGGUAGCUAAUACCGCAUAACGUCGCAAGACCAAAGAGGGGGACCCUCGGGCCUCCUGCCAUCGGAUGUGCCCAGAUGGGAUUAGCUUGUUGGUGGGGUAACGGCUCACCAAGGCGACGAUCCCUAGCUGGUCUGAGAGGAUGACCAGCCACACUGGAACUGGGACACGGUCCAGACUCCUACGGGAGGCAGCAGUGGGGAAUAUUGCACAAUGGGCGCAAGCCUGAUGCAGCCAUGCCGCGUGUAUGAAGAAGGCCUUCGGGUUGUAAAGUACUUUCAGCAGGGAGGAAGGGAGUAGAGUUAAUACCUUUGCUCAUUGACGUUACCCGCAGAAGAAGCACCGGCUAACUCCGUGCCAGCAGCCGCGGUAAUACGGAGGGUGCAAGCGUUAAUCGGAAUUACUGGGCGUAAAGCGCACGCAGGCGGUUUGUUAAGUCAGAUGUGAAAUCCCCGGGCUCAACCUGGGAACUGCAUCUGAUACUGGCAAGCUUGAGUCUCGUAGAGGGGGGUAGAAUUCCAGGUGUAGCGGUGAAAUGCGUAGAGAUCUGGAGGAAUACCGGUGGCGAAGGCGGCCCCCUGGACGAAGACUGACGCUCAGGUGCGAAAGCGUGGGGAGCAAACAGGAUUAGAUAUCCUGGUAGUCCACGCCGUAAACGAUGUCGACUUGGAGGUUGUGCCCUUGAGGCGUGGCUUCCGGAGCUAACGCGUUAAGUCGACCGCCUGGGGGAGUACGGCCGCAAGGUUAAAACUCAAAUGAAUUGACGGGG